Molecule: long non-coding RNA, 1210 nt
Filed under: Homo sapiens (human)
Lineage: Eukaryota; Metazoa; Chordata; Mammalia; Primates; Hominidae
Description: HSALNT0251347
Source: RNAcentral
CUUUACUCAGCUCUGGAAGGAAGCCAAAAAGGAAAAAUUAAGGUUAAAAAAAACUAUGUUAUUUUAAAACAGCUUAUUGAAGGAAAUAAUAGUAACAGGAAAAAUCAAUGAAGUGCACAAAGCCGAAUAAAAAGCAAUGAAGUCUGGAGUAAAGGCAAACACUAUUGUAUUCAACAGAAGGAAUCAUGGGACUAAUAACAAGAACUGGAAAUGAAAUCCUUCGAAGAAAAAACAGAGGGUUGGGAAAUGGUAAAAGACCUUUUUGAUCUCAUCCAUCUUGAGGGAUGCGGCCUAAAGCACAUACAGUCCUCCAAAGAAAAAGUAAUGCCGUGUUACAAAACAGGUUUCCUAUUUUGAUGCACCUGGACAUACCGAGGACUAAACUGUCCUUAGAAGGGAUGUGCACAUUCACAUCAAGACACAAGACAACACCAUCAGACUUCUGGAAAUUAUUUAAAACUUAAGUUUUGGUUAUGGAUUACUGUUGGAGCCACAUCUCUGAAGGACAAUAAUAAAUGGAUUCCAGACACAUGGACAGACCCAGAAGACUCCAAAGCAGGGGCAAUAUUGCCUGUUUCUAGCAAACCCAUAAAAAUGAAACAAUUGGGCACCAAUUGUUUUAGAAAAGCCCACUCUCUUCAAAUGUGAGAUGAAAAAUGAGAAGAAAAAGGUGUUAAGAAGGACCUAAUUAAGAAUUUUUAUGUUACGUAUUUGAACAACUUGACUCUGAUGCAACAUCAUGAUGUAGGGAAUGGUUCAGAAGUCAUACUCGUGAAGUAGAAAGAAAAGAAAAACAAACAGAAAGUUGCACCAGAAUUAGUGUGGCACUGGUUUAUUUCCUACCUGAUUGUAAAGGAAAAAUUGAGAUAUGCUAAUUUAUCAUGCAGCCGCAUAACUUCAUAAUGCAAAAUUUAUGAGAAGAGAUGAGAGGAAAUUGGAGAGGAACAUUAUGGGAGCAAUAAAUACUUAUAUAUACUUAUAUAUAAUACUUAUAUAUAAUUGCAAAUAUUAUAAUGCUGUUGCAUAUUAGUUGAGACCAUUUAGGUGAUUAUUUAGGCUAAAAGUAUAUAUAUAUAUAUAUAUAUAUAUAUAUAUUUAAUUAAAAUACUAUUUAACUGAGCCUCUUGUAGGGGUUAAGUACCCUUCUAGGUAUUGGGGAUACAUCAAUUUCCCAUAUAAAGAUUCCUGUAGAAAUCUAUAUAUAUAUAUA